Molecule: non-coding RNA, 2479 nt
Organism: Lonchura striata (white-rumped munia)
Lineage: Eukaryota; Metazoa; Chordata; Aves; Passeriformes; Estrildidae
Source: RefSeq, a predicted model, not a curated record
GCCUCGGCGAGCGCGGUAGAGCCGCCUCGGGCCGCCCGGGAUGCCGGGGAAAAAGAAGCUGCAGCCCACCCGCCGCGGCUCCCGGCCCGGGCGGAGGCGGCCACAUCCCCGGACGGGAGCUGAGCGUCUCUCCGUGCCGCCAGAGCUCCCCUGAGCCUCUCCACCGAGCCUGAUCGCCCUGUGCCGCUGCCCCAGCUCAGCAUCGCCCCUGAAACUGGCCCUGUGUCCACCGGCCGCCCCCAGGGCAGGGCGGCCGUCCAGGUGCCCCUGCAGAAGGAGGGGCUUGUGCGAGGUACCUGCAGUAAUAACAGAGGCCGCAACUGAGCGUCUGAGUGCCCAUUCUUCCCCAAAACAUCCGCAGGCGAUGCCAGUGACUGCACCCACCUGGGGCUUGCAUCGGUCGAAUCAAGAUCUUUCUGGAAAUUCUCUAUUUCCUGUUACUCCUUCGCCAGUGAACAACAGUUUACUUCAUGAUGACCCUGGCUUUCAAGAGGUGGUGAGUUUGUGUUAGAAGUUAAAAAUUUGGGAGCGUUUUUAUGAAGCUGAAUGCAUUUUGCAUUUCUGCAAAAAACAGUGCUUGCUUUAGGUCUCAAAAUGUGCUUUAACACAGUAUUAGGAUACUUCAGAAUCCUCUAAUAACAGGGUCUACCAAACCAAACUAUGUUUUUUUCCUGCAAGAAUAUCUUAAAGGUAUAUAGCUUAAGAAAGCUAAAAAAGGUGAAGUCUGCAAAGCUCUUUCCUGCACUGUGUUCCAAAUGGUGGGACAAGUUGACCUCAUUGGACUCCAACCAUGCAAGCAACAGCUUCUUCACCUAAUAGGGAACAUCUUAGUUCUUCUCAAUUCAGAAAUACCCAGAAGAAGUUUAAAAUGUGCUAAAACCUAAUCUAAAACUCAAUCAUCAAUGCCCAACUUCGGGAAACAACAGUUUGAGGGUUUUUGGCCUAAACCUGCACAUGCCUCUUUAGGUCUCUCCUUCAUGAUUUACUUUCACAGCAGUAGGUGACAAGAACCCACACUUCACUUCCCCUCUACAAGACUCUGGUGCAUCAGACCAGUAUCACCCUAAUCUCUUGUCUGAGAUAUUCCACAAAGCAAGGAAACUGGUCUCUUCAGGUGAAAAUCUGUUCAUCAAACCCACUCCCCAAACACAUCCUGAAGCUUCUGAAUCUGAUGAGUCUGUGGACUGGUAGGACUGAAGAAACCCAGCCUGUAAUGUGAGUUUCCAACUGUGGACAGUGCUCACCGAGUCUGGCUGGGGACUGGCCAGCCUUGGAACUGCAGAAGGAGCAGUCUGGGUCAAAUUGUUGGCUGCAAUUUGAGCAGGAAAAUGGAGAGCAUCUGUUCCCCCUCUAUGGGUGGGGCCUGCCCUCCCAUCCUCCCAGGCUGUGCCCCGAGAAGAGCUGGUGCUUGUAUGGAUUUCCCCAUCUCCUCUGCUCCGUUUGAAGGCUCAGGUGCACACCUCCCCCUCUGUGCUUGCUGAUGAACCCAUUCCUCAGUACCAGGGCAGUGCACCAGCACACACCACCAGCUCCAUCCCAUUUCCUGCUUGCCAAGAGGAUGCAUUGCAGUGUGUCUCACAUGACAGUCUGUUGAAGCUUCAGCAGAAAGUGAUCCCAUCAUGAGUACGCCUCAACAAAUCUGCCUCAGUUUACCUUGGCAGGUUGCCAGGCAGGUUGCUCACUUGGGAAUCUUUCAAUGUCCUUUCCUUGUUGGAAUUUUUUGUUCUACAUCGACUUUAAAAUUCAUUAAACCAGGUUUGAAGAACUUGCAGAUGUGCAUGCCUUUACAGUACCAACAGGCACUGCAGUCACAAAUAUGUACCAAAUAGAGAUGAAGAAAUUAAAGGAUUACGAUGCUUGUUUUCCUUAUGUGAGGACUAGCUGCCAAUUUAGCCUUAAAUCAGGAUGUCUCUGUUCUAACUUUGCCAUGAAAAACUUGUCUACUUUUCUGAACUAUACUAGUUGUCAUAAAAUAGCUUUAUUCUCAAACAUUCUGUUAUUUUAUAGUCUGUUGUUUUUUUUUGUCUUAGUCAUAAUGCAUGCAAAAUAAAGUUCUUUAAAAUUUCCUCUUCACGAUGUAAACAACUCAAAUUUCUAUUUCUCUAAAUGUACCAUGUUCAGCCAUAGCAGUGUACAGUACAGAGCCCAAUGGGUUAACAAUUUCUUUAUUAGCAGUACCUUCAGACUUAUCCUUUUCUCCCUGUCAGAAUCAAACUGCACAAUUCAAGACUGCAGAGUUAUCCUGAAUUGGCCACAUCCAACUGACUGUGAACUGCACCAAGCAGGAUGAAAGAAAGAGAAAAUGGCAAAGCUGUGACAAUGAUGAGUACUGAAGAUAAUAAAAGGAGACAAAGACAGUGUGGCCAAAACUGGGGAAAAAAACCCCAACAAAUCCCAAGAAAAAGACAUAUUAAUACUGUAUUUUAAAUUAUUAUAUUUGCUUCAUCUUCAAACUUUAUUAAAGAAGGAAUGUUCAAGA